This 722-nucleotide long non-coding RNA is filed under the name Rattus norvegicus (Norway rat). Its description in RNAcentral is "long non-coding RNA NONRATT012355". Lineage: Eukaryota; Metazoa; Chordata; Mammalia; Rodentia; Muridae. The record is from RNAcentral.
GCAACUGCGACUCCAGAUCCCGGACACCGACCGGAGGGAACUGUGCCUUCCAGCUAACUGUGGACCAUUCAUCUCAUCUCAAGUGAGGUAACCCGUGCACUGAGCAGUGGAUGGUGGUUCUCGGGAAUCCAAGGCGAAAGAACUUCCCACCUUGGCCCGGUGGCUAAACGCAGACGCGGAGUCCCCACCCGCCCCCUCCGGCUACACCUCAGCCGGGUGUGAGCUCCGUGGGAAGGAAUCUUCUCCGGAGGAGUGCACCUUGCCAACAGGUGUGGCAUCCGAAGGAAGAGCCCGCACCUCCCCAGGAGGGUCGCUCGGUGUGGCGAUCUCUUUGCUGCAGAUAAUUCUUGAAGACCAGUAGGUGUCAGGCCAGCAUCUGACCUCUUUCAGGUGCUUAAAACUAAGAGUCUGGAAACUUGAUUAGUGGACGGUUAAAGUGAGUUUCCUGUGGAGGCUCUGUCUAGUUUUGUUUUCCCUUCUGCACUUUCUCCAGGUGAAGGUUAAUAGUUCAGAGCUUAACUGACUGCUAUCUUUCACUCCCUCUUGGUAAAGCUGUCUUUGAAACUGAACAGAAGCUUGUUGGCUGCGUGUGGAAGAGAGGCGUCUGCUUUGUGCUACAGGUAUUGUUUCUGCUGGCCUGUGAAAUCGACAAAGCUUCUGUUAAUUCGCUUCAGUUGCAGACAGCUUUCAUAAAAAAAAUAAAUUUAAUCUAAAAUAUUUUU